UACGUAGGGGGCGAGCGUUGUCCGGAUUUAUUGGGCGUAAAGAGCUCGUAGGCGGUUUGGUAAGUUGGAUGUGAAAUCUCCAGGCUCAACUUGGAGGGGUCAUUCGAUACUGCCAUGACUAGAGUUCGGUAGGGGAGUGUGGAAUUCCUGGUGGAGCGGUGAAAUGCGCAGAUAUCAGGAGGAACACCGGUGGCGAAGGCGGCGACCUGGACCGACACUGACGCUAAUACACGAAAGCGUGGGGAGCAAACAGG
RNAcentral lists this ribosomal RNA (254 nucleotides) under uncultured bacterium. RNAcentral's name for it is "partial 16S ribosomal RNA". It matches the Rfam family "Bacterial small subunit ribosomal RNA", at positions 524 to 776 of the family's 1533-position model. The record is from RNAcentral.